Fukomys damarensis (Damara mole-rat) is the source of this 1186-nucleotide long non-coding RNA. RefSeq lists it as uncharacterized. Lineage: Eukaryota; Metazoa; Chordata; Mammalia; Rodentia; Bathyergidae. The record is from RefSeq and is a predicted model, not a curated record. The transcript is spliced from 3 exons.
UACUUCCUCGGCGGGGCUGGAACUUUCAGGGAACUUUCAGGGACCUUGCUGAUGCUGCCUGAGUUCUGCUCACCCCGAGGCGCAGAAUAAAGCGGGUUCCCGUGCGCUGAAGCGCAGCAAAAUGGACCCCAGGUGUCCCUGGCACGGCACCAAGGGGGCGUGGACGGAGGAGCGCGCGUGGGAGGACGGCGGAGUGGGUGGGUGGGGAGACGAGCGCGGAGCAGGAAGAAGGCGGGGUGAGGGGUCCAGGAGAUCCGAGCGCGCGGAGAAAGAGACAAAGGGAGCCAGGGGUCGGAGCGCGGGACUGAGGCGCACAGGGCCCUUAGGGAACGGGGCUGCAGUAGCCGAGCCUUUUCCAUCCUCUUGUCUUGGGGUGCUGUAUUCGGGACCUAGCGGGAACAGUCCAGCCUCACACGGCCGGAGCUGCGAGACUGCGGCCCGGGAAAACCCAGGGGAGAGGGUGGGGUCGCUGAGUCACUGGCCGUGAGUCACGGCUGCCGGAGGGCUUCUAGCGGUUCGGGGGAAACCGUUAGCCCGAUCCGCUGGGCCCCGCGCGCGCGCGCGUGGGUCGCUCUGAGUUUUACCAACUCAGGGCCUGGUCCCCGCUUUGAUCCGAGCGAUCGGUUCUUAGUGAGCCGAGAGCGUCCCUAGGUUCUUCAGAACGCACCAAAGCCUGGCAUCGUUCCAAGGCCUGAACUUUUCCUUAGCAGAAAAGAAACUUCUGCAGAUCUUGGAGAGCCGCCAACUGCAGCUCUUCAGAGGUAUCCCCCAAAAUUGGACCUGAUGCAUUACAUGCAGUGAAACCCACCAAUCACAGCAGCUCCUCCUUCCAGCUUCCCUAUUUGGAGCAACACAGAAAAACAGCAAGAUUGGAAACUUUCAUCAUCUACCACUUCCUUACUCUCGGAUCACUCAGGUCCAAUGGGUGAUUUGAGAGUCUAUAUGAGGAAAAUAUCAAAGAUCCAUGAAAGUUAACACAAAGAAUGGCCGUUACACUGUUCUUGGUAAGGUGCAAAGCUGAAACUUCCUAUUCUAUAUUGAGAGAUUCAGUGUUGAGAAAAUUAAAAAGUAAAUUAUUGUUGUUUAUGUACUACAGAAAAAAGCAGGAAAGGUAUUCAGCAAGCUGUUAAAAGUGUUAGCUUUUGGGGAGUAGGAUAGAAUUGAGGUUUGCAGAAUAAUGUGUCUG